UUUUUCUGGAUUUUUUUUUUUUUUUUUUUUAAUUCUUAAGAUGUUAAAGAACCAGAAGUCAAAUAGACAGGGAAAGGAAUUUGUCUGGGACAACAACUCCAGCGUCUGGAAUAAAUGGUAAAAUAGGCCAGCCAAACCCCCAUCAACUCCUACACUAUCUUUCGUCUUGAUGCAAAUUUUCUUUCUGUAGACUAACAGGAGACUGAAGACAGCUGUACUAGUUUGAUCUCCCCACACAAACUCAUGGCUACAGAAAUAUUCAACAUUCACCACAAAUAUUACAUUGAUUUUUUUAACUCAGUGCAAUAAAAUCUGCUUUGAAUUUUAUAGCUUUUACAGUAACUUAAUUACAAGUUUUGCAGUUAUUUAAACCCUGCUUUUGUCAUAGAGGUUCCAGUUUCUGGGCCCAGUGCAGGAAGUACUGACUUCCACUGCUGCGAAUUUCAAGCACAGCUUUAUGUGCAGGGAUUCUUGAAAUGUUUUACAAACUUUAUCAUUACAGCCCUUCCUGCACUAGCUAACCAAAUCCAAACAGCAAUGUAUGUGAUAUUACACCACAUAACUGCAUUAAACACAGUGAUUCUGAAUGAGGAUUUUCAGGGUGGAUGGGACAGAGGUAAUUUCUCUACAUGCACACUAGAACAUUUAAAGGUCUUCAAAUAAAAGUGGUAAAAGAAAAUUACCUCACUAUGUUCCUGCUAAUAUGAAAACAUUAGACCUCUGUUAUUUGGUUUUAAAGAAGAGAACUUGGGGGAUUCAGUGCACAUAUUACCCCAGUUCUUUCACAUUCCUAACUCUGGAGAGCAUCUUCCCUCCCAUUUAUGAAUGAAAACCACCUUUUUCUCAAUGACCCUAAGUUAAUUCUCGCAACACUACAAGGACCUACACUUUAGCUGUCUGUAAUUUAAAGUAGCAGUUGCAAACAAGAUGAUCUAGCUUUAGAGCAGCCAGCUACUGCAGGCCACCACUGAUUCACAGACAUUAUUAAGAAAUUACUACUGUAAGUCUACCACAUUUAAAUUAUGCUAUAGUAGUAAUGUGGCCACAGCAUCUAUUUAUAGAAAUAAUUUCACCCAGCAAGCACAGUAACAAAAAUAGUUAACAAUGGAAUGAAAGCAUCUGACAUCAUCCUGUGACUUUGCCACAAACUUCUAGGACAUGAAAGAGCUGCAGGACAACAGCAAACUAUAAGGAUAUUUGGGGGUAUUCUGCCCUUAACAGAAAA
RNAcentral lists this long non-coding RNA (1225 nucleotides) under Strigops habroptila (Kakapo). Its description in RNAcentral is "lncRNA (ENSSHBG00005004866.1)". The record is from RNAcentral. Lineage: Eukaryota; Metazoa; Chordata; Aves; Psittaciformes; Psittacidae.